UACGUAGGUGGCAAGCGUUAUCCGGAAUUAUUGGGCGUAAAGCGCGCGCAGGCGGUCUUUUAAGUCUGAUGUGAAAGCCCACGGCUCAACCGUGGAGGGUCAUUGGAAACUGGGAGACUUGAGUGCAGAAGAGAAGAGUGGAAUUCCAUGUGUAGCGGUGAAAUGCGUAGAUACUGGUAGGAACACCCAUUGCGAAGGCAGCUCGCUGGACAACACGUGACGCUGAGGCGCGAAAGUGUGGGGAGCAAACCGGAUUAGA
This 259-nucleotide ribosomal RNA is filed under the name uncultured prokaryote. RNAcentral's name for it is "partial 16S ribosomal RNA". It matches the Rfam family "Bacterial small subunit ribosomal RNA", at positions 524 to 782 of the family's 1533-position model. The record is from RNAcentral.